GGUGCCAUAGCUCAGUUGGUAGAGCAACGGACUGAAAAUCCGUGUGUCGCUGGUUCGACUCCAGCUGGCACCA
Molecule: transfer RNA, 73 nt
Filed under: Bacteroidota bacterium
Lineage: Bacteria; Pseudomonadati; Bacteroidota
Also listed under: 1 other name
Description: Bacteroidetes bacterium tRNA-Phe
Rfam family: tRNA
About the family: Transfer RNA (tRNA) molecules are approximately 80 nucleotides in length.
Source: RNAcentral